Molecule: ribosomal RNA, 253 nt
Filed under: uncultured bacterium
Lineage: Bacteria
Description: partial 16S ribosomal RNA
Rfam family: Bacterial small subunit ribosomal RNA
Source: RNAcentral
UACGGAGGGUGCGAGCGUUAAUCGGAAUUACUGGGCGUAAAGGGUACGUAGGCGGCUUUAUAAGUCAGAUGUGAAAUCCCCGGGCUUAACCUGGGAACUGCAUUUGAAACUGUAUGGCUAGAGUGAGUGAGAGGUUAGUGGAAUUCCAGGCGUAGCGGUGAAAUGCGUAGAGGUCUGGAGGAACAUCAGUGGCGAAGGCGACUAACUGGCACUACACUGACGCUGAGGUACGAAAGCGUGGGGAGCGAACAGG